Molecule: ribosomal RNA, 253 nt
Filed under: uncultured bacterium
Lineage: Bacteria
Description: partial 16S ribosomal RNA
Rfam family: Bacterial small subunit ribosomal RNA
Source: RNAcentral
UACGUAGGGUGCGAGCGUUAAUCGGAAUUACUGGGCGUAAAGCGUGCGCAGGCGGUUUUGUAAGUCGGAUGUGAAAUCCCCGGGCUUAACCUGGGAACUGCGUUUGAAACUACAAGGCUAGAGUGUGGCAGAGGGGGGUGGAAUUCCACGUGUAGCAGUGAAAUGCGUAGAGAUGUGGAGGAACACCGAUGGCGAAGGCAGCCCCCUGGGUUAACACUGACGCUCAGGCACGAAAGCGUGGGGAGCAAACAGG